Molecule: ribosomal RNA, 495 nt
Filed under: uncultured bacterium
Lineage: Bacteria
Description: partial 16S ribosomal RNA
Rfam family: Bacterial small subunit ribosomal RNA
Source: RNAcentral
GAUGAACGCUGGCGGCGUGCUUAACACAUGCAAGUCGAGCGAAGCACUUAAGUUCGAUUCUUCGGAUGAGGACUUUUGUGACUGAGCGGCGGACGGGUGAGUAACGCGUGGGUAACCUGCCUCAUACAGGGGGAUAACAGUUAGAAAUGGCUGCUAAUACCGCAUAAGACCACAGUACUGCAUGGUACAGUGGUAAAAACUCCGGUGGUAUGAGAUGGACCCGCGUCUGAUUAGGUAGUUGGUGAGGUAACGGCCCACCAAGCCGACGAUCAGUAGCCGACCUGAGAGGGUGGCCGGCCACAUUGGGACUGAGACACGGCCCAGACUCCUACGGGAGGCAGCAGUGGGGAAUAUUGCACAAUGGGCGAAAGCCUGAUGCAGCGACGCCGCGUGAAGGAUGAAGUAUUUCGGUAUGUAAACUUCUAUCAGCAGGGAAGAAAAUGACGGUACCUGACUAAGAAGCCCCGGCUAACUACGUGCCAGCCGCCGCCGUAA